UCCCUUUAAAUAAACAGGUUUGUGCAGCCACAAACAUCACCAUUCAGCCACACACUCUCCCAAAUUCGUCAAAACCCAUCCACAACCUCAGAAACCAUUCCUCCUCCAUCUCUGCCGAUUUCCACCACCAUUCUUCAUAUCCACACCUUCCACACAACACCCACACACCAUCCCCAAGCCUUGCCGUGCCUCUAUACCAUCCAUAAUCCAUUCUACAUCACAAAAACAGCCCAGAAACCACACCAUCCCAAUCUGCCGCAAGGGGAAGAGAAGGAGACAGUUCACAAAGUUGUUUGGCUCUUCAAUCUGAGUUGUUGAACAAUUUUAGGUGUAUUCUAUCUUAUAUUUCAAUGUCUACUUCUUGUAAUCUUUGUUUUUCAUUGAGUAUGAUUGCCUAAAUUCGUUUUGGCUAAGGGUGUAUUCGAAACCAUGUUUAUUUAUGUGAAAUAAGUUGAUUACUUCCAGUUAUCGUUGCAUA
This 478-nucleotide long non-coding RNA is filed under the name Malus domestica (apple). Its description in RNAcentral is "long non-coding RNA (MDOM_LNC020596)". Lineage: Eukaryota; Viridiplantae; Streptophyta; Magnoliopsida; Rosales; Rosaceae. The record is from RNAcentral.